CAGCCGCCACGGUAACACGGAGGGUGCAAGCGUUAUCCGGAUUUAUUGGGUUUAAAGGGUCCGUAGGCGGAUCUGUAAGUCAGUGGUGAAAUAUAACAGCUUAACUGUGAAACUGCCAUUGAUACUGCAGGUCUUGAGUAAAUUUGAAGUGGCUGGAAUAAGUAGUGUAGCGGUGAAAUGCAUAGAUAUUACUUAGAACACCAAUUGCGAAGGCAGGUCACUAAGAUUUAACUGACGCUGAUGGACGAAAGCGUGGGGAGCGAACAGGAUUAGAUACCCCAGUAGUCCCUGUCUCUUAUAC
Molecule: ribosomal RNA, 301 nt
Filed under: uncultured bacterium
Lineage: Bacteria
Description: partial 16S ribosomal RNA
Rfam family: Bacterial small subunit ribosomal RNA
Source: RNAcentral